This 274-nucleotide ribosomal RNA is filed under the name uncultured bacterium. RNAcentral describes it as "partial 16S ribosomal RNA". It matches the Rfam family "Bacterial small subunit ribosomal RNA", at positions 80 to 353 of the family's 1533-position model. The record is from RNAcentral.
CUUCUUUGCUGGCGACCGGCGCACGGGUGAGUAACACGUAUCCAACCUGCCCUUUACUCGGGGAUAGCCUUUCGAAAGAAAGAUUAAUACCCGAUAGCAUAAUGAUUCCGCAUGGUUUCAUUAUUAAAGGAUUCCGGUAAAGGAUGGGGAUGCGUUCCAUUAGGUUGUUGGUGAGGUAACGGCUCACCAAGCCUUCGAUGGAUAGGGGUUCUGAGAGGAAGGUCCCCCACAUUGGAACUGAGACACGGUCCAAACUCCUACGGGAGGCAGCAUG